GGCACGGGCCGCCUCGCGCGCUUCGUGCGACACGCACAGCAAAUCUCGCGAUGCCUUGAGGGCCUCGGGGCGUGAGGGCGGGGAGCGCCCGGCCCGGCCCCGGCUGGAGCGGUGGGAAAAGCGCGAAGGAUGGAGACGGCAGCACCUGGGAAUUCAGGCUUCUGGGCACGCCUCGCGUGUGGAUCCUUUUCUGGUCCUGAUGGUGCAAAGACACUGGCAGGAAUGGAGACCUGGUCAAGACAAAGUCUUAAAUAAUGCAAACGAAGACUCAGAGGGGUGUGUCCAUGCUGCUCUUAAAAGCAGACUCUUGGAAUGUAGCUCUGCUUUCUGAUGCAAAUGCAGGAAGAAAAAAAAAAAAAGGCAUCUGGGUUUGAUGAUGUUGCAUUUCUUCAAAAAAGAGUCAGCAGCCAGUUUGUUGAGAGUAUUGGUAUAAGAGACAGGCAUUUGUGUUUAAAGGACUUGCCAGUUUGGAAUGCAGAUAAAGCCUGUUAUUUUUGGUUCUGGGAAUGGGCCAUAGUCUGUUAAUAGGGGAAACACUAUGAUCAAACAUCUGUGUUCAUCUGUAUUGCCCAUGGCUUCUCUGUCAUGGAUUUUCUCAGGUGCCAAAAUCAGUGCCAAGAGCCAGACUGCUUGGGAAUGUUCCAUAAAUAUGGGAUUUCAAUGCAGAUUGUUUCUGUGAAUCUAGACUCUCAGGUGUAAAGUUUCCACUUUGCAGUAUCCUGAGUAUAAAUUAGCAGCAAGAGUAGACAAAACCAUUUCUCAGUGGAAGAAAGGGAUUGGUAAACAGCAGAGCAAUUUAGGAGACUGUAGAAGCAGAGAGUCCUAGUUCAGCUGAAAUUUAUGUGUACCUGAAGUCACAACAGCUGAGUUGCUUCUCUGGAACUGUCAGUGCCACUCUUAACCCCCUACACCCUGCAUGAAUUGCUGGGAUUGAAUUUCCAGAUGCCCUUAUUUGUUUGUGUAUUUGCUGUCACUUUCAAGUCAGGUAGCAGAUUUGAAGGAGCAGUAGAUCAGUUCCUGUUGGAUAUAAUUGAAAUCUCAUGGUCUUCUGUAAUCCAGGCAUAUACUUUGUAGUCACCUACAACAGGAUCCAUCCCUGGAAAAACAGAGGUGUUUGAAGCUGGGUGCAUCAGUUCAAAUUGGUUUUGUUUCCAUUCCUGCCUUUUGAAGUUCUGGGCAGCUGCAAGCCUUGACCAGCUCAGAAAGUGAGGGCAGGGGUCAUCUCCUUAACCAAGAGCCUGAAGAAGCUCAGGAGCCGUGUGUGAUCUCUACUGAUGCCGCUGUUUAGGAUUUUGAGGUGUGGAGUCAACAUUAUCCUCCCAAGAGCUCAGGAGAGGUCUGACUGAGGCAAAUCCUUCUGCAGCAGAGGAGGCAAAAUGUGAUGAGACAAUCUUGGAUUCAUGUGACAACAUACACGUGUUGAAAGACAGCAAGGAACAAAACAGGCUGACCAACAGAACCCACAGGAUGCCAUCUUGUGUCCUACAAAACAUAAAUUUAAUACUUACAUUGCUGCCAGCUUGCCAAAUUUUAGUCAUGUUGCCUAAAACACGUGGCUAUUUGGCAUAUGAGGGAAAGCAGUGUAAACUAGUAAAAUCUGGCAAUAGUCAGUUAGGGAGAAAAGUUUCAUUAACACUUUUCUUUUUCUGCCUUUGUUUUCCUUACUUUUGUUUUCUUUUACUCCAAGGUAAAAGAAGAAAAGCUUAAGUUACUAAACUGUUUUAUUGGUAUUUGGAACAAAAGAUCCUGUGGUGCUUCAUUUUUGGACUUUAGCAGUGACUUUUCUAUUGUCCAUAAGUUCGUAGUAAAAUGACCUGCAAUUUACGUGUUCCUUGUACUGCCCACAUUAAAGUUCUGAUGAGUGUUGUGUGA
This is a long non-coding RNA of Hirundo rustica (Barn swallow), 1872 nucleotides long. RefSeq lists it as uncharacterized. NCBI's taxonomy places the organism in Eukaryota, Metazoa, Chordata, Aves, Passeriformes, Hirundinidae. The transcript has 2 exons. The record is from RefSeq and is a predicted model, not a curated record.